This 464-nucleotide ribosomal RNA is filed under the name uncultured bacterium. RNAcentral's name for it is "partial 16S ribosomal RNA". It matches the Rfam family "Bacterial small subunit ribosomal RNA", at positions 338 to 795 of the family's 1533-position model. The record is from RNAcentral.
CCUACGGGGCGCAGCAGUGGGGAAUAUUGCGCAAUGGGCGAAAGCCUGACGCAGCGACGCCGCGUGAGGGAUGAAGGUCUUCGGAUCGUAAACCUCUGUCAGCAGGGAAGAACGGUCACUGUGCUAAUCAGCAGUGAAUUGACGGUACCUGCAAAGGAAGCACCGGCUAACUCCGUGCCAGCAGCCGCGGUAAUACGGAGGGUGCGAGCGUUAAUCGGAAUUAUUGGGUUUAAAGGGUGCGCAGGCGGAAUGUCAAGUCAGCGGUAAAAUUUCGGGGCUCAACCCCGUCGUGCCGUUGAAACUGGCGUUCUUGAGUGAGCGAGAAGUAUGCGGAAUGCGUGGUGUAGCGGUGAAAUGCAUAGAUAGCACGCAGAACUCCGAUUGCGAAGGCAGCAUACCGGCGCUCAACUGACGCUCAUGCACGAAAGCGUGGGUAUCGAACAGGAUUAGAUACCCCUGUAGUC